UGAUGGUGGUGCAGCCGAUGCUCGUUUGAAUCUCUUCAGAGGCAGGUAUUCGGAAGGGGAAUCCAGAUACAACUUAUCAAAUCCCACCAUUAGAGAAGCUAUUAAAGCAUACAUUUCCAUUGCAGAAUGUUAUGAUAUCCAUCCAGUGUCUCUUGCAAUAGGUUGUUGAUGGUAUUCGGAAGGUAUGCCCCGAAGCUGGUGCGCUGAUCCAUUUUCUGGCUUUAAUGGUAAUUUUCAAGGGAAAAGCUCACUCCUUUGUGACCAAAAAUUUGUUAUUUUAAUAUACCUGUAUAUCUUGUACUGUUAUGAAACCGAAAUCAGAUCUCAUAUGAGCUUUUUCAAGAGCUUCUUCUGUUUA
Molecule: long non-coding RNA, 358 nt
Organism: Helianthus annuus (common sunflower)
Lineage: Eukaryota; Viridiplantae; Streptophyta; Magnoliopsida; Asterales; Asteraceae
Exons: 3
Source: RefSeq, a predicted model, not a curated record